AUCAAAAAAAAAAAAAAAACUUCAAUGGAUCGAAACUGGAAUUUACGAUUUUCUAAUAGAUUCUAGUGUAAGAACUGGACAGAAUUGACAUGGGACCACACUGCAGGCAUCAGUUUUCGAAUACAAAAAGAAUUAUCAAAAUUGGUUGACUUCAAAGUUAUGUGGUAACAAACAUAAAAAAAAAAUACAGACUAAUUGACAACCUCCUCCUUUUUGGAAGUCGGUAAAAAUAGGAAAAAUUCACAGUCUUGCAAACUUCGAAUUCUGUUACGACUAUAGAAAGCUUAAAAAUUUUGAAGUAAGACAAAAUAUAGAAUUACUAUUCGAAAAAUUGCUAUUCGAUGAAUUUUAAUUCGAAGAACUGUUAUUCGAAAAAAAAUUUCAUUGGUGAAUUGUUUUCGAUAAAUUUUCUAUGAACUAUCAAGCUAGAUUCCAUAUAUAUCACCAGUAAGGAUAUAGAAGAAUAGUUGGAUCGUUGGAUGAAGAUGCCCAAUCAUUUUCUCUGAGUUUGUAAACAUCAAAAAAUGAUGAAAUUGCUGAUAGAACUCAAGAAAUAAGUUAAAUUUUUUAUAAGUUUAAUUAUUUUGAAAAAUCAUAUAAAUUACAGUUCAAACUA
Molecule: long non-coding RNA, 616 nt
Organism: Episyrphus balteatus (marmalade hoverfly)
Lineage: Eukaryota; Metazoa; Arthropoda; Insecta; Diptera; Syrphidae
Exons: 2
Source: RefSeq, a predicted model, not a curated record